UAGUUGUUUAUAUAGUGAUUUAAAGCAAAAGUGUUAGGUAAAAACAGCUGUUAAAUAUAAAAAUGGUAAUAUUAUUUUGUUUACCCUGUUCAAAAUACUUUCCUCAACCUCUAAAAGUUAGGAGGGUAACUUUUCAUAAACCACUCAUUCAACCUCUAAAUAUUAAUAUAAAUAUUAUGCCACCAAACAGUAUAAAUAAGAGAGAUAUUGUUUUAACUAAGGUUAAA
This 227-nucleotide unclassified non-coding RNA is filed under the name Hevea brasiliensis (rubber tree). The record is from RNAcentral. Lineage: Eukaryota; Viridiplantae; Streptophyta; Magnoliopsida; Malpighiales; Euphorbiaceae.